Thoreauomyces humboldtii is the source of this 72-nucleotide non-coding RNA. NCBI's taxonomy places the organism in Eukaryota, Fungi, Chytridiomycota, Chytridiomycetes, Spizellomycetales, Powellomycetaceae. The record is from the annotation of a GenBank genome assembly.
GGCUCAGUGGUUUAGUGGCAUAAUACUCGCUUAGGAUGCGAGUGGGUCCGGAGUUGAUUCUCCGCUGAGCCC